GCGGCCGUAGUCUAGUUAUAGGGGUUCGGGAAAAGUAGACUGUCCUAUACGAAUCUCUACUGGAAUGGAUUAGGACAUCAGCCUGCCACGCUGACGACCCGGGUUCAAAUCCCGGCGGCCGCACCA
Molecule: transfer RNA, 126 nt
Filed under: Candidatus Bathyarchaeota archaeon
Lineage: Archaea; Thermoproteati; Candidatus Bathyarchaeota
Description: tRNA-Gly
Rfam family: tRNA
About the family: Transfer RNA (tRNA) molecules are approximately 80 nucleotides in length. Their secondary structure includes four short double-helical elements and three loops (D, anti-codon, and T loops). Further hydrogen bonds mediate the characteristic L-shaped molecular structure. tRNAs have two regions of fundamental functional importance: the anti-codon, which is responsible for specific mRNA codon recognition, and the 3' end, to which the tRNAs corresponding amino acid is attached (by aminoacyl-tRNA synthetases). tRNAs cope with the degeneracy of the genetic code in two manners: having more than one tRNA (with a specific anti-codon) for a particular amino acid; and 'wobble' base-pairing, i.e. permitting non-standard base-pairing at the 3rd anti-codon position.
Source: RNAcentral